RNAcentral lists this unclassified non-coding RNA (359 nucleotides) under uncultured bacterium. Its description in RNAcentral is "contains 16S-23S intergenic spacer region". The record is from RNAcentral.
UCCCCCGUGAGGGGGCAGUCUCGCCUGACAUGUAUAACAGGCAACGAGGGUUGCGUUCGUUACCCCACUGAAGGGAACAACUCAAGCCACGAACUGACGACGACCAUGCAUCACCUGCGGAGCCGUCUUGCGAAAGCCUAGUUUCCUAGGCGGUCGUCUCCGUUUCAAACCCUGGUGAGGUUCUUCGUUUGUCAUCGAAUUGAGCCGCAUGAUCCACCGCUUGUGCAAGUCCCCGUCUAUUCCUUUGAGUUUUAGCCUUGCGGCCGUACUACCCAGGCGGAUAACUUAACGCGUUUGCUUCGCCUCAAAGAGGGUCGAUACUCCUUAAAGCCAGUUAUCAUCGUUUAGGGCGUGGACUA